AUACUAGCCAUAGGUUCCAACAGUACAUUAAAAGGAUUAUUCUCCAAGACCAAGUGGGAUUUAUUCCUGGGCUGCAAGGGUGGUUCGACAUCUGCAAAUCAGUCAGUGUGAUACAUCACAUUGAUAAAAGAAAAGACAAGAACCACAUGAUCCUCUCAAUUGAUGCAAAACAACAAAAACAAAAAAACAUUGGACAAAAUAUAGCAUCUUUCCUGCUUGUUUAUUUUUGAUAUUUUUUGAUCGUUUCCUUUUUUCAUCUCACCAUCCAAAUUAGGCUAGUUUUUUAGGGAGAAAAGUCUCUUGCAUUCUAUAAUCAUUCAACAGAUCUUUAUGGAAACCUAACAGAUGCCAAGCAUAAAUAAGACAAAAGUCUAUCUGUCAGGAUGUCUGGUAUAUUAGAGAGAAGGCAAGGAGCAAAACUUAAAUGAUUAUGCAAAAGUAAUCAUACUUGUAAUUAUUUUUAUAAAGAAAAUAAAGAUGAUCUUGACAUAGGGAAUUUUGUAAAGAGUGAAAAAGUCUUUAAAAGAAUCAUGGGGGAAGCUCUCUGAGGUAAGGCCAGUUAAUUUCUUUUCCAAGACUAUAGGUUAUGAGGAAGCAACCAAUUGAAGAAGAUGGGACUUGCUUUCAGAAAGAGAAAAGUAAAAGCACCGAGGUGAGAAAGUCGCAAAGAGCUCUGGGGGCAGAUGAAAAUAGCCAACACCUGCUGAUGCACAGUAAAGGAAUGAUGGAGCAGAACUUCGAGUUUAGGAAACUAACUAAACUAAUGUUUAUAGCACCAAUGUCCACCAUAUCCAAAUUAUGGAAAGACCCCAGAUGAAUGGAUGAAGAAGAUGUGGUAUCUCCAUACAAUGGAAUACUACUCAGCAAUAAAAAAUGAAAUCUUUCCAUUUUGUAAUGAUGUGGAUUGAACUAGAGGAUGUUAUUCUAAGUGAAAUAAGUCAAUCAGAGAAAGACAAUUAUAUGAUCUCACUCAUGUGGAUUUUAAGUAACAAAACAGAAGAUCACAGGGGAAGAGAGGAAAAAAAUAAAACAAGAUGAAAUCAGAGAGGAAAACAAACCAUAAGUGACUCUUAAGCAUAGAAAACCUGAGAGUCACCGUAAGGGAGGGAGUGGGGGGAUGAGGUAACUGAGUGAUGAACAUUAAGGAGGGCACAUGAUGUAAUGAGCACUAGGUAUUUUAUAAGACUGAUAAGUCACAGAUCUCUACCUCUGAAACCAAUAAUACAUUAUAUGUUAAUUAAUUGAAUUUAGAUAUGAUAAAGUUUAAAAAAUAUCAAGCAUACCCCUCCCAAAAGAAUAUAUAACUAGUGUGCUGUGGACUGGCCUUUUGAUCACACAGCUCAAACUGUGAACUCCUCUGUUCUACCACUGCAGAAGUUAGCUGAUGAUGUGAUGUUUCCAGAGAGUUACUAUUGCAACCCAGAAGAAAUGCUACUGUGAAAACAUGCUUUGUGUUAGUACUUGGAACUUUUAAGCAGAGGGUGACUGGCCUAUCUUAGGAAUUUUCUGGAGCGCAGCUUCAAUUGAUAGUGGACUAUACCACCUUGGGAAGGCUGAGAAUUCAUUGUUAUGAUUCAGCAGCCUCACUCCCAUCCCACCCCAUACAUAAAAUGCAGAUCUUCCAGGGCAGACCAUGCAAAUGUCCUUUAUUCCCACCAUUUAACCUCAGCCUCUCCCUCAUGACCCAAGAACUGAGAUCUUGCUUGUAAGGACCAUGGUGAAUUACAAGGAACCCUGACUCCAGAGUCAGGAAAUGAGAAGUGGGCUUUAUUCAGGCUGUGUCACUAAUGUGGUGUGCUACUGGGGCAUAUAGCUGGCACCUCUGGGUCCCAGGGUCCUCAUUUGCAGUACAAGGAUGGCUCAUUAGAGAAGUAACAACUCAGUCCUCUUCAAACAAAGCAUCCAUUUCUCAAUUGCAUUGAUUGUUUAGGCCUCUGGGUAAGGAUUUUUAGAGAAGUGAUUCAUUUCAUGUAAAAAAGCUGAAACUCAUUUUUCUAAGUAAUGUUUAAUGCUCCAUCUAUCUUAUGGCUUGGAGCUUGCGUGGCUCCCUAUUGAUAUAAUGCGGAAUUGAAUUUUUGACCUAACAUUCAAUCCUGUCACCAGCAAGCCCCUUACUGAUUUAACUUUAUUUAUCUGUUUUUCUCACUUUAUUCCACUGUCAUCCCCUCUGCUUCCUGUCAGAUUUCUAGCAUUUCUUUCUGCAGCUGCCUUUCUCUUUGCAGGGGGAUGUCACUGGAUCCAGAUGCAGCAAACCUACCACUAAGUCACAGCCAUGUCACUUGCUGGCUUAAUGAUCUCAGCAUCUGUAAAGCCUCAAUUUCUGCAGUAGCACAAUUUGUACAAGAGAAACACAGAUGCAUACCCACAGGAUAAAAGAAGGGACAGAGAGAAAGCAGGCAGAGGGAAGGAGAAAGGGAGAUAGAUGAUAGAGAAGGAAGGAAGGAAAGAAGGAAGGAAAGUGAGAAGUUAAAUUGGUAAAGAGUUCAUCAAGGAAUUUCCUAGUAAAUCUUUGUAGAUACAUUAUCCAUCCCUUGUUGCCUUUGGACACUUUUUAGAAAUCUACACAUUGUAUUUACCAAUUCUCAUUUCUAAGUAGACAUCAUUUAGUUUUCUUUUUUAUAAAUUUGUUUCAGAGGUACUUUUCAAUAAUUCAUCAGUUGUGUAUAACAUUCAUUUAGUUUUGAAAAAUGUCCUCAAAAGCACACAAAAUUACAUCAAGCAAAAUAAUCUAACUCAAGUUAGAACUCAGGUUUCCCACCUCAUGAGUAGAUAAGCAAACAGGUAUCAAGCGUAAAUUAUUGACAUACUUCAAAAGUAAUAGGUAUGUGAUGACUUAUUCUAUGUAAUUAGUUUAAUUAAUGUUAUAUUUCAAAAAUAAUUUCUAAGGCAUAAUUCUAUGCAAUAAUUAAAAUCUACAUAUGAAAUACUUAAACCAAAUAAUAGAGUGAUUAACCAAAUCAUAGAGGUGAUUUGUAGAAUGGAGUUUUUACAUUUGGUCAAGAAUGGAAAGUUGUACGAAUACCUAUCAUUUGCUUUGACUUGAUGAGAUGAGCCCUGGGUGUUAUAUGUUAGCAAAUUGAACUUAGAACAAAAAGGAAAUUAAAAAAAGGAAAGUCAUGUAAAUACAGACUCUAAGUUCAUUUCACCCAAGAUCUUACCAGACUCAAGAUUUGGUCAUGUGAAGUAACUUCAGAGAGUCCAAGAACCAGGUGAAAUUUUUCUAACUUGUUUUUUCUGACUGUGGGGUCAAGCACCACAAGGAACAUAAACAAGGAAAAAGUCAUCCAAUUAUUACAUCUUGAUCAAAUUUGAAGAACUAGGAUUUUUAUUGCUCUCAGAGAGAGAUUUAAAACAGUAAAGACUUAAGUAUUCAUGUUCCUGAGAAGGGAAUAGCCCUUCUGGUUUACCAAGGGAUUUACAUUCCCUCCAAUUAAGGAUGAUUGCUGUAAGAUAUCCAACUCCACUGUUUACCAAAUUAUUCAGGUGUCUCUUUAAAUGCUAAUUGAUUGUAUUCUUAGAUCGAAUAGAAAAGGCUCUCAUUCAUCUUCUUGGAAGUUACAUUAUGAAAUUAAUGUUCUCCUUUUGGCGAUGGACUGGGCUAUAGGAGCGCAAAGUGCCUGUUUGAGCACAGGU
This 3633-nucleotide long non-coding RNA is filed under the name Canis lupus familiaris (dog). Its description in RNAcentral is "lncRNA (ENSCAFG00030006036.1)". Lineage: Eukaryota; Metazoa; Chordata; Mammalia; Carnivora; Canidae. The record is from RNAcentral.